Non-coding RNA from Trichonephila inaurata madagascariensis, 67 nucleotides. The record is from the annotation of a GenBank genome assembly. Lineage: Eukaryota; Metazoa; Arthropoda; Arachnida; Araneae; Nephilidae.
GAAGCGCAAUGGAUAGCGCGUUGGACUUUAAAUCCAAAGGUUAUAGGUUCAAAUCCCACGUGCAAUG